RNAcentral lists this ribosomal RNA (250 nucleotides) under uncultured bacterium. Its description in RNAcentral is "partial 16S ribosomal RNA". It matches the Rfam family "Bacterial small subunit ribosomal RNA", at positions 524 to 773 of the family's 1533-position model. The record is from RNAcentral.
GACGGAGGAUGCAAGCGUUAUCCGGAAUGAUUGGGCGUAAAGCGUCUGUAGGUGGUUUAUUAAGUCUGCUGUUAAAGCACAGGGCUCAACCCUGUAUAGGCGGUAGAAACUGGUAGGCUUGAGUAUGGUAGGGGUAGAGGGAAUUCCCGAUGUAGUGGUGAAAUGCGUUGAUAUCGGGAAGAACACCAAAGGCGAAAGCACUCUGCUGGGCCAAUACUGACACUGAGAGACGAAAGCUAGGGGAGCAAAU